GGAUUUACCCGCAAGGAUGCGGGUAAAAGGCGCAGCCGGCACAGGGAUGUGCCGUCUGCGCCGGUCCGUCACGUUGA
This 77-nucleotide small RNA is filed under the name Pantoea ananatis. Lineage: Bacteria; Pseudomonadati; Pseudomonadota; Gammaproteobacteria; Enterobacterales; Erwiniaceae. The record is from RNAcentral.